CUAGUGGCGCACGGGUGCGUAACGCGUGGGAACCUGCCCUUAGGUUCGGAAUAACAGUUAGAAAUGACUGCUAAUACCGGAUAAUGUCUUCGGACCAAAGAUUUAUCGCCUUUGGAUGGGCCCGCGUUGGAUUAGAUAGUUGGUGGGGUAAUGGCCUACCAAGUCGACGAUCCAUAGCUGGUCUGAGAGGAUGAUCAGCCACACUGGGACUGAGACACGGCCCAGACUCCUACGGGAGGCAGCAGUGGGGAAUAUUGGACAAUGGGCGAAAGCCUGAUCCAGCAAUGCCGCGUGAGUGAUGAAGGCCUUAGGGUUGUAAAGCUCUUUUACCAGGGAUGAUAAUGACAGUACCUGGAGAAUAAGCUCCGGCUAACUCCGUGCCAGCAGCCGCGGUAAUACGGAGGGAGCUAGCGUUGUUCGGAAUUACUGGGCGUAAAGCGCACGUAGGCGG
RNAcentral lists this ribosomal RNA (451 nucleotides) under uncultured Erythrobacteraceae bacterium. Its description in RNAcentral is "bacterial SSU rRNA". It matches the Rfam family "Bacterial small subunit ribosomal RNA", at positions 92 to 578 of the family's 1533-position model. Lineage: Bacteria; Pseudomonadati; Pseudomonadota; Alphaproteobacteria; Sphingomonadales; Erythrobacteraceae. The record is from RNAcentral.